RNAcentral lists this ribosomal RNA (632 nucleotides) under uncultured archaeon. Its description in RNAcentral is "bacterial SSU rRNA". It matches the Rfam family "Archaeal small subunit ribosomal RNA", at positions 192 to 824 of the family's 1478-position model. The record is from RNAcentral.
AGCUCCGGCGCCAGAGGAUGGGUCUGCGGCCUAUCAGGUAGUAGUGGGUGUAGCGUACCUACUAGCCUACGACGGGUACGGGUUGUGAGAGCAAGAGCCCGGAGAUGGAUUCUGAGACACGAAUCCAGGCCCUACGGGGUGCAGCAGGCGCGAAAACUUUACAAUGCCGGCAACGGCGAUAAGGGGACCUCGAGUGCCAGGUUACAAAUCUGGCUGUCGUGAUGCCUAAAAAGCAUUGCAUAGCAAGGGCCGGGCAAGACCGGUGCCAGCCGCCGCGGUAACACCGGCGGCUCGAGUGGUAACCGUUAUUAUUGGGUCUAAAGGGUCUGUAGCCGGCCGGAUAAGUCUCUUGGGAAAUCUGGCAGCUUAACUGUCAGGCUUUCAGGAGAUACUGUCUGGCUCGAGGCCGGGAGAGGUGAGAGGUACUUCAGGGGUAGGGGUGAAAUCUUGUAAUCCUUGAAGGACCACCAGUGGCGAAGGCGUCUCACCAGAACGGACCUGACGGCAAGGGACGAAAGCUAGGGGCACGAACCGGAUUAGAUACCCGGGUAGUCCUAGCCGUAAACGAUACUCGCUAGGUGUCGGCCACGGUGCGACCGUUGUCGGUGCCGUAGGGAAGCCGUGAAGCGAGC